GAAUAAAAAGCGAAGUUAACGCGAUCGGUUUCGGCCCGAUUUUUGGUAAUGUUAUGCCUUUAUUUU
This 66-nucleotide transfer RNA is filed under the name Georissa bangueyensis. Its description in RNAcentral is "tRNA-Arg". The record is from RNAcentral. Lineage: Eukaryota; Metazoa; Mollusca; Gastropoda; Cycloneritida; Hydrocenidae.